UAGGGAAUCUUCCACAAUGGACGCAAGUCUGAUGGAGUAACGCCGCGUGAGUGAAGAAGGUUUUCGGAUCGUAAAGCUCUGUUGUUGGUGAAGAAGGAUAGAGGCAGUAACUGGUCUUUAUUUGACGGUAAUCAACCAGAAAGUCACGGCUAACGACGUGCCAGCAGCCGCGGUAAUACGUAGGUGGCAAGCGUUGUCUGGAUUUAUUGGGCGUAAAGCGAGCGCAGGCGGAAUGAUAAGUCUGAUGUGAAAGCCCACGGCUCAACCGAGGAACUUCAUCGGAAACUAUCAUUCUGGAGUGCAGAAGAGGAGAGUGGAAUUCCAUGUGUAGCGGUGGGAUGCGUAGAUAUAUGGACGAGAGCCAGUGGCGAAGGCGGCGCGCUGGUCUGCAACUGACGCUGAGGCUCGAAAGCAUGGGUAGCGAACAGG
Molecule: ribosomal RNA, 429 nt
Filed under: bacterium
Lineage: Bacteria
Description: partial 16S ribosomal RNA
Rfam family: Bacterial small subunit ribosomal RNA
Source: RNAcentral